Molecule: signal recognition particle RNA, 322 nt
Filed under: Caldivirga maquilingensis IC-167
Lineage: Archaea; Thermoproteati; Thermoproteota; Thermoprotei; Thermoproteales; Thermoproteaceae
Description: Archaeal signal recognition particle RNA
Rfam family: Archaeal signal recognition particle RNA
Source: Rfam by way of RNAcentral
AACUGGGCCGGGCCUGGAGGGGCGCCACCCCUCCCCCUCUUAAAGGGGGCCGUAGGUGAACGGGGGCCGAAACUCCACCCCGCUACUGAUUAGCCCAGUGUCGGGCCAUGGGCACCGCUAUGAAGGCCAGCCCCCUGAGACGCCCAUCACCCACGCCUACAGCCGUAGGGCUGUGGGUAGUGGGGUUCCGGUGAACCGGGUUAGGCCCGGGAGGGAGCGGCCCUAAGCCGGGGUGGGCGUGUUCAGGGGUCCACUGGCCUGAGCAUGGGCCUAUGGCUACGGCUGAGACUAGUCGGUGGUGGGGUGGGGGUUGGGCCCAUGU